This 497-nucleotide ribosomal RNA is filed under the name uncultured bacterium. RNAcentral describes it as "partial 16S ribosomal RNA". It matches the Rfam family "Bacterial small subunit ribosomal RNA", at positions 28 to 507 of the family's 1533-position model. The record is from RNAcentral.
GAUGAACGCUGGCGGCGUGCCUAAUACAUGCAAGUCGAGCGAACAGACGAGGAGCUUGCUCCUCUGACGUUAGCGGCAGACGGGUGAGUAACACGUGGAUAACCUACCUAUAAGACUGGGAUAACUUCGGGAAACCGGAGCUAAUACCGGAUAAUAUAUUGAACCGCAUGGUUCAAUAGUGAAAGACGGUUUUGCUGUCACUUAUAGAUGGAUCCGCGCCGCAUUAGCUAGUUGGUAAGGUAACGGCUUACCAAGGCAACGAUGCGUAGCCGACCUGAGAGGGUGAUCGGCCACACUGGAACUGAGACACGGUCCAGACUCCUACGGGAGGCAGCAGUAGGGAAUCUUCCGCAAUGGGCGAAAGCUUGACGGAGCAACGCCGCGUGAGUGAUGAAGGUCUUCGGAUCGUAAAACUCUGUUAUUAGGGAAGAACAAAUGUGUAAGUAACUAUGCACGUCUUGACGGUACCUAAUCAGAAAGCCACGGCUAACUACGUG